AUACGGAGGGUGCAAGCGUUAAUCGGAAUUACUGGGCGUAAAGCGUACGUAGGCGGUCCGUUAAGUUAGAUGUGAAAGCCCCGGGCUUAACUUGGGAACUGCAUUUGAAACUGGGUAACUAGAGUUUAGUAGAGGGGAGUGGAAUUUCAGGUGUAGCGGUGAAAUGCGUAGAGAUCUGAAGGAACACCAGUGGCGAAGGCGACUCCCUGGACUAAAACUGACGCUGAGGUACGAAAGCGUGGGUAGCAAACAGGAUUAGAAACCCUAGUAGUCC
Molecule: ribosomal RNA, 274 nt
Filed under: uncultured bacterium
Lineage: Bacteria
Description: partial 16S ribosomal RNA
Rfam family: Bacterial small subunit ribosomal RNA
Source: RNAcentral